RNAcentral lists this ribosomal RNA (465 nucleotides) under Vreelandella stevensii. RNAcentral's name for it is "partial 16S ribosomal RNA". It matches the Rfam family "Bacterial small subunit ribosomal RNA", at positions 338 to 795 of the family's 1533-position model. The record is from RNAcentral. Lineage: Bacteria; Pseudomonadati; Pseudomonadota; Gammaproteobacteria; Oceanospirillales; Halomonadaceae.
CCUACGGAUGGCUGCAGUGGGGAAUAUUGGACAAUGGGGGGAACCCUGAUCCAGCCAUGCCGCGUGUGUGAAGAAGGCCCUCGGGUUGUAAAGCACUUUCAGUGAGGAAGAACGCCUGGUGGUUAAUACCCAUCAGGAAAGACAUCACUCACAGAAGAAGCACCGGCUAACUCCGUGCCAGCAGCCGCGGUAAUACGGAGGGUGCGAGCGUUAAUCGGAAUUACUGGGCGUAAAGCGCGCGUAGGUGGCUUGAUAAGCCGGUUGUGAAAGCCCCGGGCUCAACCUGGGAACGGCAUCCGGAACUGUCAAGCUAGAGUGCAGGAGAGGAAGGUAGAAUUCCCGGUGUAGCGGUGAAAUGCGUAGAGAUCGGGAGGAAUACCAGUGGCGAAGGCGGCCUUCUGGACUGACACUGACACUGAGGUGCGAAAGCGUGGGUAGCAAACAGGAUUAGAUACCCCAGUAGUC